UAGUUGAAUAAGUUGUGCUUGACUCCCUCA
This 30-nucleotide non-coding RNA is filed under the name Mus musculus (house mouse). Lineage: Eukaryota; Metazoa; Chordata; Mammalia; Rodentia; Muridae. The record is from RNAcentral.